Molecule: ribosomal RNA, 906 nt
Filed under: uncultured bacterium
Lineage: Bacteria
Description: bacterial SSU rRNA
Rfam family: Bacterial small subunit ribosomal RNA
Source: RNAcentral
AGAGUUUGAUCAUGGCUCAGAUUGAACGCUGGCGGCAGGCCUAACACAUGCAAGUCGAGCGCUUCUAGCUUGCUAGAGGAGCGGCGAACGGGUGAGUAACGCGUAGGAAUCUGCCUGGUAGUGGGGGACAACGUCUCGAAAGGGACGCUAAUACCGCAUACGCCGUACGGGGGAAAGGGGGGGAUCUUCGGACCUCUCGCUAUCAGAUGAGCCUGCGUCGGAUUAGCUAGUUGGGGGGGUAAAGGCCCACCAAGGCGACGAUCCGUAGCUGGUCUGAGAGGAUGAUCAGCCACACCGGAACUGAGACACGGUCCGGACUCCUACGGGAGGCAGCAGUGGGGAAUAUUGGACAAUGGGGGCAACCCUGAUCCAGCCAUGCCGCGUGUGUGAAGAAGGCCUUCGGGUUGUAAAGCACUUUAGGGGGGGAGGAAGGUUCGCUGUUUAAUACGCAGCGGGAUUGACGUUACCCCCAGAAUAAGCACCGGCUAACUUCGUGCCAGCAGCCGCGGUAAUACGAGGGGUGCAAGCGUUAAUCGGAAUUACUGGGCGUAAAGCGCGCGUAGGCGGUUAGGUAAGUCGAUUGUGAAAUCCCCGGGCUCAACCUGGGAAUUGCAGUCGAGACUGUCUGACUAGAGUGUAGGAGAGGGUGGUGGAAUUCCCGGUGUAGCGGUGAAAUGCGUAGAUAUCGGGAGGAACAUCAGUGGCGGAGGCGACCGCCUGGCCUAACACUGACGCUGAGGUGCGAAAGCGUGGGUAGCAAACAGGAUUAGAUACCCUGGUAGUCCACGCCGUAAACGAUGUCGACUAGCCGUUGGAGACCUUAGAGUCUUUAGUGGCGCAGCUAACGCACUAAGUCGACCGCCUGGGGAGUACGGCCGCAAGGUUAAAACUCAAAGGAAUUGACGG